GGGUUGUGAGGUUAAGCGACUAAGCGUACACGGUGGAUGCCCUGGCAGUCAGAGGCGAUGAAGGACGUGCUAAUCUGCGAUAAGCGUCGGUAAGGUGAUAUGAACCGUUAUAACCGGCGAUUUCCGAAUGGGGAAACCCAGUGUGAUUCGUCACACUAUCAUUAACUGAAUCCAUAGGUUAAUGAGGCGAACCGGGGGAACUGAAACAUCUAAGUACCCCGAGGAAAAGAAAUCAACCGAGAUUCCCCCAGUAGCGGCGAGCGAACGGGGAGCAGCCCAGAGCCUGAAUCAGUGUGUGUGUUAGUGGAAGCGUCUGGAAAGGCGCGCGAUACAGGGUGACAGCCCCGUACACAAAAAUGCACAUGCUGUGAGCUCGAUGAGUAGGGCGGGACACGUGGUAUCCUGUCUGAAUAUGGGGGGACCAUCCUCCAAGGCUAAAUACUCCUGACUGACCGAUAGUGAACCAGUACCGUGAGGGAAAGGCGAAAAGAACCCCGGCGAGGGGAGUGAAAAAGAACCUGAAACCGUGUACGUACAAGCAGUGGGAGCACGCUUAGGCGUGUGACUGCGUACCUUUUGUAUAAUGGGUCAGCGACUUAUAUUCUGUAGCAAGGUUAACCGAAUAGGGGAGCCGAAGGGAAACCGAGUCUUAACUGGGCGUUAAGUUGCAGGGUAUAGACCCGAAACCCGGUGAUCUAGCCAUGGGCAGGUUGAAGGUUGGGUAACACUAACUGGAGGACCGAACCGACUAAUGUUGAAAAAUUAGCGGAUGACUUGUGGCUGGGGGUGAAAGGCCAAUCAAACCGGGAGAUAGCUGGUUCUCCCCGAAAGCUAUUUAGGUAGCGCCUCGUGAAUUCAUCUCCGGGGGUAGAGCACUGUUUCGGCAAGGGGGUCAUCCCGACUUACCAACCCGAUGCAAACUGCGAAUACCGGAGAAUGUUAUCACGGGAGACACACGGCGGGUGCUAACGUCCGUCGUGAAGAGGGAAACAACCCAGACCGCCAGCUAAGGUCCCAAAGUCAUGGUUAAGUGGGAAACGAUGUGGGAAGGCCCAGACAGCCAGGAUGUUGGCUUAGAAGCAGCCAUCAUUUAAAGAAAGCGUAAUAGCUCACUGGUCGAGUCGGCCUGCGCGGAAGAUGUAACGGGGCUAAACCAUGCACCGAAGCUGCGGCAGCGACGCUGAUGCGUUGUUGGGUAGGGGAGCGUUCUGUAAGCCUGCGAAGGUGUGCUGUGAGGCAUGCUGGAGGUAUCAGAAGUGCGAAUGCUGACAUAAGUAACGAUAAAGCGGGUGAAAAGCCCGCUCGCCGGAAGACCAAGGGUUCCUGUCCAACGUUAAUCGGGGCAGGGUGAGUCGACCCCUAAGGCGAGGCCGAAAGGCGUAGUCGAUGGGAAACAGGUUAAUAUUCCUGUACUUGGUGUUACUGCGAAGGGGGGACGGAGAAGGCUAUGUUGGCCGGGCGACGGUUGUCCCGGUUUAAGCGUGUAGGCUGGUUUUCCAGGCAAAUCCGGAAAAUCAAGGCUGAGGCGUGAUGACGAGGCACUACGGUGCUGAAGCAACAAAUGCCCUGCUUCCAGGAAAAGCCUCUAAGCAUCAGGUAACAUCAAAUCGUACCCCAAACCGACACAGGUGGUCAGGUAGAGAAUACCAAGGCGCUUGAGAGAACUCGGGUGAAGGAACUAGGCAAAAUGGUGCCGUAACUUCGGGAGAAGGCACGCUGAUAUGUAGGUGAAGUGAUUUACUCAUGGAGCUGAAAUCAGUCGAAGAUACCAGCUGGCUGCAACUGUUUAUUAAAAACACAGCACUGUGCAAACACGAAAGUGGACGUAUACGGUGUGACGCCUGCCCGGUGCCGGAAGGUUAAUUGAUGGGGUUAGCGCAAGCGAAGCUCUUGAUCGAAGCCCCGGUAAACGGCGGCCGUAACUAUAACGGUCCUAAGGUAGCGAAAUUCCUUGUCGGGUAAGUUCCGACCUGCACGAAUGGCGUAAUGAUGGCCAGGCUGUCUCCACCCGAGACUCAGUGAAAUUGAACUCGCUGUGAAGAUGCAGUGUACCCGCGGCAAGACGGAAAGACCCCGUGAACCUUUACUAUAGCUUGACACUGAACAUUGAGCCUUGAUGUGUAGGAUAGGUGGGAGGCUUUGAAGUGUGGACGCCAGUCUGCAUGGAGCCGACCUUGAAAUACCACCCUUUAAUGUUUGAUGUUCUAACGUUGACCCGUAAUCCGGGUUGCGGACAGUGUCUGGUGGGUAGUUUGACUGGGGCGGUCUCCUCCUAAAGAGUAACGGAGGAGCACGAAGGUUGGCUAAUCCUGGUCGGACAUCAGGAGGUUAGUGCAAUGGCAUAAGCCAGCUUGACUGCGAGCGUGACGGCGCGAGCAGGUGCGAAAGCAGGUCAUAGUGAUCCGGUGGUUCUGAAUGGAAGGGCCAUCGCUCAACGGAUAAAAGGUACUCCGGGGAUAACAGGCUGAUACCGCCCAAGAGUUCAUAUCGACGGCGGUGUUUGGCACCUCGAUGUCGGCUCAUCACAUCCUGGGGCUGAAGUAGGUCCCAAGGGUAUGGCUGUUCGCCAUUUAAAGUGGUACGCGAGCUGGGUUUAGAACGUCGUGAGACAGUUCGGUCCCUAUCUGCCGUGGGCGCUGGAGAAUUGAGGGGGGCUGCUCCUAGUACGAGAGGACCGGAGUGGACGCAUCACUGGUGUUCGGGUUGUCAUGCCAAUGGCACUGCCCGGUAGCUAAAUGCGGAAGAGAUAAGUGCUGAAAGCAUCUAAGCACGAAACUUGCCCCGAGAUGAGUUCUCCCUGACUCCUUGAGAGUCCUGAAGGAACGUUGAAGACGACGACGUUGAUAGGCCGGGUGUGUAAGCGCAGCGAUGCGUUGAGCUAACCGGUACUAAUGAACCGUGAGGCUUAACCUUACAACGCCGAAGCUGUU
This 2930-nucleotide ribosomal RNA is filed under the name Escherichia coli. Its description in RNAcentral is "bacterial LSU rRNA". It matches the Rfam family "Bacterial large subunit ribosomal RNA". Lineage: Bacteria; Pseudomonadati; Pseudomonadota; Gammaproteobacteria; Enterobacterales; Enterobacteriaceae. The record is from RNAcentral.